Molecule: ribosomal RNA, 618 nt
Filed under: Triticum aestivum (bread wheat)
Lineage: Eukaryota; Viridiplantae; Streptophyta; Magnoliopsida; Poales; Poaceae
Description: partial small subunit ribosomal RNA
Source: RNAcentral
AUGAUCUCAUUAAAUACCGAUAUCAAGCUUGAUCAACGAAGGUACAAUGCGCCAACAACUUCUCAGGUAGCAGCAAUAUGGGUUGAAGGGAGCGACCCACAAAAAACCUUUGAUAGAAGUGUUAUCGUGUACGGGAAAGGAGAGCGUCCCCUGUAUAUUAGAGCAUACUAUGGGUGCUACGACCCUUUGUCAUAUCCACUAUUCUUCGCACGUGGGGAGAUCGGUUGGAAUCGUUUGAUGCCAUAUAUUGGGGCCGCCGAUGACACAAACCAAGAUUCAGGCCUUGUUGACACCGUCAUCGCUGGCGAGUCACGCGGUGAUCGUAUUGGCAAGAGAAUCGUGCUUCCACGUAUCUUUCCUGGUGGUGACCGUGACAUGCAACGCAGGUUCCUGGCAAUAGUUCAACGAUGGGGUAAACCGGAGUAUUUUGUCAUGAUGACAUGCAAUCCCUACUGGGAGGAGAUAACUAUUGAAUUGUUGCCUGGACAGCUGCCACAAGACCGUCCAGACCUUGUGGCAAGAGUAUACAGAGCUAAACAACGAUCCAUGAUGGACUUACUGAUUAAGGGUAAGCAUUUUGGAGAAGUUGCGGCUUAUGUACAUGUCACUGAGUUUUAG